AUCCGGCCGCGCGGAGCCGGCACGCCGGUCUCCGGCUCCGGCCCGGCGUCGGCAGGGCCGCCCGGCUCGACCGGCCGGGUGCC
This 83-nucleotide transfer RNA is filed under the name Streptomyces sp. 1-11. RNAcentral describes it as "tRNA-Arg". Lineage: Bacteria; Bacillati; Actinomycetota; Actinomycetes; Kitasatosporales; Streptomycetaceae. The record is from RNAcentral.